RNAcentral lists this ribosomal RNA (253 nucleotides) under uncultured prokaryote. RNAcentral describes it as "partial 16S ribosomal RNA". It matches the Rfam family "Bacterial small subunit ribosomal RNA", at positions 525 to 777 of the family's 1533-position model. The record is from RNAcentral.
ACAGAGGGGGCAAGCGUUGCUCGGAAUCACUGGGCGUAAAGGGCGCGUAGGCGGGAUGGCAAGUCAGUCGUGAAAUCUCUCGGCUCAACCGAGAAACGUCGGCUGAUACUGCCGUUCUUGAGGGAUGCAGAGGAGACCGGAAUUCCCGGUGUAGCGGUGAAAUGUGUAGAGAUCGGGAGGAACACCGGUGGCGAAGGCGGGUCUCUGGACCGACACUGACGCUGAGGCGCGAAAGCGUGGGGAGCAAACAGGA